AUGGGAGUGGGAGACGUGAAGGUUUUUCAGAAAACAAGGAAGUGUUAUAUGAAACAGGUGUUUUUUCAUUACAUCUCAGAGCACCUCCCCACAACGCAUGCCUCUCCAUCGUCCAAGAUAGGAAGGCUGGCUAAGUGGAGACACCCCGACACCCAAAAUCCAGUUUUACAUUUUUUUAAAAAAAAAUUUAAGCUUUGUAAAAGGUUGCAAGCAGCAUUACAGUUUGUUCUUGUUGUCUCUGGCUUAGGACUGGGCAUCCUUGUGAAAUGUUGUGUUCCUGCGACUUUGAAGCCCAAAGAUUUUGCUCCCCUGUCAGGGCUGGGGAUAAAACCAGAUCUGCCCGCCUGCCACCCGCCAUCCAAACACAGACGCUUCCUGUGCCCACUUUUUCUCUCUUUCUCUCAAUGCCCAGUGGAGACCCUCUAUGCUUUGCCUCUCUUUCCCCCCCUCGCCUUAGCAUUGCACAGACAGAAUGUUAAUUAGCAUCCACGAUUUAAUUAAUUCAGCUGCCAAUUAGUGCUAUAGAGAGGGGGAGGGGCCCGAGCUACCGACGGGGGGGGCACAGAUGGUUCUUUAUGGGCUGGCACCGUGCCACUUUCAACAGCGGAUUGUAGGGUGGCGAGAGGAGAAGCGAAGGACUCCAGUUUUUGUGUGUGUGUAUGUGCGUGCGUGCGUGCCUCUGUACGGAUUGAGGUGGGCGGGUGGGUGUUUCUUUGCCGGUAGGGACACCAAGCUUGCCCCCCCCCCACAUGCACUCAUCACCCACCCUGGGUUUUCCCCCAUGGCCACGCCACCGCGCAGCUGUAGUUGGCAUAAAAGAAGUGGGCACCUGCUAUAAAGGAGAUAGAUAGACUGGGUGCUAGAAGGAGGUUGGCGCAAGAAACGGAGAGAUAGAGGAAGAGGGAAAGGAUAGGAUGAUAGGAAAAGACCAAAAAAAAGAGGAGAGAGUAGAAGGAUAACAUUGCCCAGAGGUAUGAGAAGAGCAAGAGAGCAGGGACGGGGGGACGGGGGGGGGAGAGAGAAAGUCAGAGGAUGGAUAGAAGGGGAAAGCCGGUGCUAAAAAGAAAGAAUGGAGGGAAAGGUUUGGGGAGAGGGGAGAGAAAAUAAAGGAGGUGGCAUAUGCCA
Molecule: long non-coding RNA, 1125 nt
Filed under: Pogona vitticeps (central bearded dragon)
Lineage: Eukaryota; Metazoa; Chordata; Lepidosauria; Squamata; Agamidae
Description: lncRNA (ENSPVIG00000015846.1)
Source: RNAcentral